GGCUUGCCUUCAUACACAGGCCAUGGAGCUAACAUUUAGAUUUGUGAUUUAGAAAGACAGAAGCACUUCUGAUUCCCCUCCAUGUGAAGAAACGUCUUGUUUCAAGAAGUCAGGAUGUGAUAUGAUUGAAAGCAAAUUUGGGCCCUGAUGGAUGACAACUGUAGCUCCAAGAGAAAAAACAGAGAUGAUUUCAGAAAGCCUUUCUAUAACAUCAAGCAAGGACUACAUACAUCAAAGUUCAGGGGUCCACUUGCAAGUAUUCUGACUAAGAGGAAAAAAAAAAGGUAAAAAAAAAGAAAACAAGAAAGCCAGCACUG
Long non-coding RNA from Passer domesticus (house sparrow), 317 nucleotides. RefSeq lists it as uncharacterized. The record is from RefSeq and is a predicted model, not a curated record. Lineage: Eukaryota; Metazoa; Chordata; Aves; Passeriformes; Passeridae. The transcript has 3 exons.